AAAAUAAUAAUAAUAAUAAAUUUUUUUUUCUGUCAUGCCAAAACCCAAAGGGGUCACACGACUGAUUGAGAACACAGCACAAAUGCCUCAGAUGAAUUGUUUUUUAAUAAAGCAUGGCUCAAAAUAGCCAAAGUCCAACCUCCAUAAAAUACUGCUCUGCCUAGAUGUUCUUGAACAAAGAAAUUUCAUUUGGAAAACAUUAACUGCAGGGUCUGUGCUUGGAGGUUUGGAGCAUCUGGACUCAGCGAUGGUUGGACAAACAGCUGGUGACCUCCUGGGAGCAGCGCUGGGGCUCUUGCACGGCUGAUCACAUAUAGAUUAUAAAAUUACUCUUCUGCUCUUUAGUCAGCUCAGCCGCUCAGUGGUGUCUCUGUGACCGCAUGGACUGCAGCAUGCCAGGCUUCCCUGUCCACCACCAACUUCCACUUUUCAGCGUCCCCCAGAAUGAUGGGAAAUCAUGUGCUGCCUCAGGGACCUGUGGAAAGGACAUGGUAUUUGGUCCAGGAGAUCGUUCCUGGCCUGGACGAUGGUUGUACCCUUGAGCAAGUUCUUGUUCUCUGAGCCUUCCACGGCCACACAAAUUCAACAAGACAGCAUACACCUAUGCAGCUACCUAUUAAUAGAAAACACACAAUAAGUGCAUCUUCAUUACUGGGAAAAAAACACGUCUCUGUAGAGUCUUCUGGGAAAUCACUCAUAACAAGCCCUUCUUUGUAAACUGUUUCCAUAGGCUGUAGCAGUCAACAAAGCUCUUAAGAGAAAUCAGAUAAAGACACAAUGCCCAUAAGUUCUGAAAUCUCAAUUAAACCAAUGUUGAAGACUAAAUUUUAAUUUUAGGCCAGUUUGACGCCCAGAGGUCCCUCUCUGGUUUCUGCUUCCUGUAAGCCUGGGUUUCCUGCCUUCAG
RNAcentral lists this long non-coding RNA (905 nucleotides) under Capra hircus (goat). RNAcentral's name for it is "lncRNA (ENSCHIG00010018971.1)". The record is from RNAcentral. Lineage: Eukaryota; Metazoa; Chordata; Mammalia; Artiodactyla; Bovidae.